GCGCUAUCAGAUGAGCCUAGGUCGGAUUAGCUAGUUGGUGAGGUAAUGGCUCACCAAGGCUACGAUCCGUAACUGGUCUGAGAGGAUGAUCAGUCACACUGGAACUGAGACACGGUCCAGACUCCUACGGGAGGCAGCAGUGGGGAAUAUUGGACAAUGGGCGAAAGCCUGAUCCAGACAGGCCGCGUGUGUGAAGAAGGUCUUCGGAUUGUAAAGCAAUAGAAGUGGGAGGAAGGGCAUUAACCUAAUACGUUA
RNAcentral lists this ribosomal RNA (255 nucleotides) under uncultured bacterium. RNAcentral describes it as "partial 16S ribosomal RNA". It matches the Rfam family "Bacterial small subunit ribosomal RNA", at positions 215 to 470 of the family's 1533-position model. The record is from RNAcentral.